GACGAACGCUGGCGGCGUGCUUAACACAUGCAAGUCGAACGGAAAGGCCCUGCUUUUGUGGGGUGCUCGAGUGGCGAACGGGUGAGUAACACGUGAGUAACCUGCCCUUGACUUUGGGAUAACUUCAGGAAACUGGGGCUAAUACCGGAUAGGAGCUCCUGCUGCAUGGUGGGGGUUGGAAAGUUUCGGCGGUUGGGGAUGGACUCGCGGCUUAUCAGCUUGUUGGUGGGGUAGUGGCUUACCAAGGCUUUGACGGGUAGCCGGCCUGAGAGGGUGACCGGCCACAUUGGGACUGAGAUACGGCCCAGACUCCUACGGGAGGCAGCAGUGGGGAAUAUUGCACAAUGGGCGGAAGCCUGAUGCAGCAACGCCGCGUGCGGGAUGACGGCCUUCGGGUUGUAAACCGCUUUCGCCUGUGACGAAGCGUGAGUGACGGUAAUGGGUAAAGAAGCACCGGCUAACUACGUGCCAGCAGCCGCGGUGAUACGUAGGGUGCGAGCGUUGUCCGGAUUUAUUGGGCGUAAAGGGCUCGUAGGUGGUUGAUCGCGUCGGAAGUGUAAUCUUGGGGCUUAACCCUGAGCGUGCUUUCGAUACGGGUUGACUUGAGGAAGGUAGGGGAGAAUGGAAUUCCUGGUGGAGCGGUGGAAUGCGCAGAUAUCAGGAGGAACACCAGUGGCGAAGGCGGUUCUCUGAGCCUUUCCUGACGCUGAGGAGCGAAAGCGUGGGGAGCGAACAGGCUUAGAUACCCUGGUAGUCCGCGCUGUAAACGGUGGGUACUAGGUGUGGGGUCCAUUCCACGGGUUCCGUGCCGUAGCUAACGCUUUAAGUACCCCGCCUGGGGAGUACGGCCGCAAGGCUAAAACUCAAAGGAAUUGACGGGGCCCCGCACAAGCGGCGGAGCAUGCGGAUUAAUUCGAUGCAACGCGUAGAACCUUACCUGGGUUUGACAUGGAUCGGGAGUGCUCAGAGAUGGGUGUGCCUCUUUUGGGGUCGGUUCACAGGUGGUGCAUGGCUGUCGUCAGCUCGUGUCGUGAGAUGUUGGGUUAAGUCCCGCAACGAGCGCAACCCUUGUUCACUGUUGCCAGCACGUUAUGGUGGGGACUCAGUGGAGACCGCCGGGGUCAACUCGGAGGAAGGUGGGGAUGACGUCAAGUCAUCAUGCCCCUUAUGUCCAGGGCUUCACGCAUGCUACAAUGGCUGGUACAGAGAGUGGCGAGCCUGUGAGGGCGAGCGAAUCUCGGAAAGCCGGUCUCAGUUCGGAUUGGGGUCUGCAACUCGACCUCAUGAAGUCGGAGUCGCUAGUAAUCGCAGAUCAGCAACGCUGCGGUGAAUACGUUCCCGGGGCU
RNAcentral lists this ribosomal RNA (1346 nucleotides) under uncultured bacterium. RNAcentral's name for it is "partial 16S ribosomal RNA". It matches the Rfam family "Bacterial small subunit ribosomal RNA", at positions 28 to 1381 of the family's 1533-position model. The record is from RNAcentral.